CGUAGGGUUGCCCUGUAAGGUGCCAUCCCGUCAGUUUGAUUGGGUGGAGAAUUGGGAAGCCGGUGAGAGUCCGGUACUGCCCCCGCAACGGUAAGGCAAGUUAGGUUCGGCAAUACGACCACUGGGAGGAGGAUCCCGGGAAGGUGCCGCAAUCGGGCGAAAGCCACUUCCAAGUCCGGAAACCAGCCUUGCAGAUAUGUCAAAC
This 205-nucleotide non-coding RNA is filed under the name Shimia marina. The record is from RNAcentral. Lineage: Bacteria; Pseudomonadati; Pseudomonadota; Alphaproteobacteria; Rhodobacterales; Roseobacteraceae.